Molecule: ribosomal RNA, 440 nt
Filed under: uncultured bacterium
Lineage: Bacteria
Description: partial 16S ribosomal RNA
Rfam family: Bacterial small subunit ribosomal RNA
Source: RNAcentral
CCUACGGGAGGCAGCAGUGGGGAAUAUUGCACAAUGGGGGAAACCCUGAUGCAGCGACGCCGCGUGAGUGAAGAAGUAAUUCGUUAUGUACAGCUCUAUCAGCAGGGAAGAAAAUGACGGUACCUGAGUAAGAAGCCCCGGCUAACUACGUGCCAGCAGCCGCGGUAAUACGUAGGGGGCAAGCGUUAUCCGGAUUUACGGGGUGUAACGGGAGCGUAGACGGCAGUGCAGGUCUGGAGUGAAAGGCGGGGGCUCAACCCCCGGACUGCUCUGGAAACUGUACGGCUGGAGUGCAGGAGAGGUAAGUGGAAUUCCUAGUGUAGCGGUGAAAUGCGUAGAUAUUAGGAGGAACACCAGUGGCGAAGGCGGCUUACUGGACUGUAACUGACGUUGAGGCUCGAAAGCGUGGGGAGCAAACAGGAUUAGAUACCCUAGUAGUC